UCCACGCCGUAAACGAUGGAUACUCGUUCUUGGCAAUACACAGUCAGGGACUGAGCGAAAGCAUUAAGUAUCCCACCUGGGGAGUACGUUCGCAAGAAUGAAACUCAAAGGAAUUGACGGGGGCCCGCACAAGCGGAGGAACAUGUGGUUUAAUUCGAUAAUACGCGAGGAACCUUACCAGGGCUUAAAUGUAGAUUGCAUAGAGUAGAGAUAUUCUUUUCUUCGGACUAUUU
Molecule: ribosomal RNA, 233 nt
Filed under: uncultured bacterium
Lineage: Bacteria
Description: partial 16S ribosomal RNA
Rfam family: Bacterial small subunit ribosomal RNA
Source: RNAcentral